RNAcentral lists this ribosomal RNA (465 nucleotides) under uncultured bacterium. RNAcentral's name for it is "partial 16S ribosomal RNA". It matches the Rfam family "Bacterial small subunit ribosomal RNA", at positions 338 to 795 of the family's 1533-position model. The record is from RNAcentral.
CCUACGGGUGGCAGCAGUAGGGAAUCUUCCACAAUGGACGAAAGUCUGAUGGAGCAACGCCGCGUGAGUGAAGAAGGUUUUCGGCUCUUAAAGCUCUUGUGGUCGUGAAGAAAGAUAGAGGUAGUAACUGGCCUUUAUUUGACGGUAAUUACUUAGAAAGUCACGGCUAACUACGUGCCACCAGCCGCGGGAAUACGUAGGUGGCAAGCGUUGUCCGGAUUUUAUGGGCGUAAAGCGAGUGCAGGCGGUUCAAUAAGUCUGAUGUGAAAGCCUUCGGCUCAACCGGAGAAUUGCAUCAGAAACUGUUGAACUUGAGUGCAGAAGAGGAGAGUGGAAUUCCAUGUGUAGCGGUGAAAUGCGUAGAUAUAUGGAAGAACACCAGUGGCGAAGGCGGCUCUCUGGUCUGCAACUGACGCUGAGGCUCGAAAGCGUGGGUAGCGAACAGGAUUAGAUACCCGAGUAGUC